CGCUGUUAUCCCUAAGGUAAUUUAGUCUUAUAAUCAUUAAAAAUGGAUCAAAAACUUAUAAAUAAAUAUAAAAAAAAUAAAAAGAGUUAUAUUAAUCUUCCCAUCACCCCAACAAAAUUUAAAUAAUAUUAAAAUUAUUACCCCACAAAAAAUAAAAAAUUAAAUUAAACUCUAUAGGGUCUUCUCGUCCCAAAAAAUUAUUUAGGCAUUUUAACCUAAAAUUUAAAUUCAACAAAAUAAAAAUUUAAGAAAGUAUAUACCUCGUCAAACCAUUCAUUCCAGCAUUCAAUUAAAAAACUAAUGAUUAUGCUACCUUUGCACAGUCAAAAUACUGCGGCCAUUUAAAAAUCAGUGGGCAGGCAAUACUUCAAAUAAAUUACAAGAAGAGAUGUUUUUGUUAAACAGGCG
Molecule: ribosomal RNA, 408 nt
Filed under: Cryptocercus darwini
Lineage: Eukaryota; Metazoa; Arthropoda; Insecta; Blattodea; Cryptocercidae
Description: partial 16S ribosomal RNA
Source: RNAcentral